UGGGGAAUAUUGCACAAUGGGCGCAAGCCUGAUGCAGCCAUGCCGCGUGUGUGAAGAAGGCCUUCAGGUUGUAAAGCACUUUCAGCGGGGAGGAAGGCGUUAAGGUUAAUAACCUUGGCGAUUGACGUUACCCGCAGAAGAAGCACCGGCUAACUCCGUGCCAGCAGCCGCGGUAAUACGGAGGGUGCAAGCGUUAAUCGGAAUUACUGGGCGUAAAGCGCACGCAGGCGGUUGAUUGAGUCAGAUGUGAAAUCCCCGGGCUUAACCCGGGAAUUGCAUCUGAUACUGGUCAGCUAGAGGCUUGUAGAGGGGGGUAGAAUUCCAUGUGUAGCGGUGAAAUGCGUAGAGAUGUGGAGGAAUACCGGUGGCGGAGGCGGCCCCCUGGACAAAGACUGACGCUCAGGUGCGAAAGCGUGGGGAGCAAACAGG
Molecule: ribosomal RNA, 429 nt
Filed under: Chloroflexota bacterium
Lineage: Bacteria; Bacillati; Chloroflexota
Description: Chloroflexi bacterium partial 16S ribosomal RNA
Rfam family: Bacterial small subunit ribosomal RNA
Source: RNAcentral